This 3002-nucleotide long non-coding RNA is filed under the name Mytilus galloprovincialis (Mediterranean mussel). The record is from RNAcentral. Lineage: Eukaryota; Metazoa; Mollusca; Bivalvia; Mytilida; Mytilidae.
UUUCGAUAUUUAUAACUCUGUAUUGCUACUUUCACUUUUCAUUGAUUCUCUCACCAUGACAAUGUCAAAUUCAAUGUACCACUUUGAGUAAUUCAGUAAUUAAUUUCUGUAUGAAAAUUGUCCUGAUCAGAUGAAGCCUGAUUGCAUGCCAAACAUGUAGGCCAUAGCAAAUGUUGUUGUCCAUUUUGAGUAUCAUUUUAUAUAUAUAUAUAUGUAGUAAUAAAUUUAUUGUAAUCUCAAUAACAACAUAUAAAUUCUUUUUAUAAAGUAAAUAAUUAAAAACAUAUUAUGCUAAAACAAGGAGUAAGACAUCAUUGGCUAAAAGAAAAUAUCAAAAUAUAACAUGAGUGUGUACAUAACAAAAUGGUUGACAUAUCCCCCAAUCAAUUCUGACUGAUUAGUCACAGCUUUAAAAGUCUUAAAUAUAUCUUUGGGUGCAAACAAAGCAAGCAAUGGUUGUAUAUGGAAACACAAUUAAAAAAAUAUAUAAGUAAGUUUGAUUUACUACAAAUCACAAGGAAGAAUAAGAAAAAAAAGCCCAUAUGUAGGAAAAAAUUACUUUAGCAAAUAUUUAGGAGGUAUAAAAGUAAUGUAUUUAAAGGUUGGCCUUCAUAAAAUGUAAAUUUUACAGUCGCAAAUUAAGUGUACUGUGGAUUCAUUAUUAUUCGUUGGAUACCAAUUUUCAUGGUUUUCGUGGGUACAGGUGAACCACGAAUUCAAAUGUUCAACGAAUACACUUAUUAAAUAGGUUUUGUAUACAGAGAUUGGCAAAACCACGAAAUUAAAUAUCCACAAAUUUGCAAAAUUUCAGCAAUCCACGAAAAUUGAUACCCACGAAAAUAAAUGAAUCUACAGUACCUAGAAACACAUAGCAGAGCUAUGUAAACAGAUAUUUGUUACAGUAAAAUCAAGUUUUGCCAAGGCCAAGCUUAAAAUACAAGUCCAUUCUAAUGCUACAUAAUAAAUAAUCAUAUGUUUACUCCUGAUGUCAAACAAACACUAGUCAGACAUAUCUAUAUUUUUUGUAUACUUCUCAAUGGUUUUAAUAUUGUCAAAAUGAAGAUUUUGAGGCACAAAAUGUGACCUCUAGUUUAUUUUUUUAGAAACAAAUAUAAAAAAUCAAAAUUCAAAAUGAUUGCUUUCUAAGUUAUGGACUGGUAGAACGUUGAAUCUAACCCUCCAAAAUAUUUGUCCAAUGAAAAUUAUUGUUACAAGCGAAUUGAAUUAGAAUAUCAAAUUUACAACUCUGAUGUCUUUUUAAACUCUAAAUCUAAUGAUAUGAUAUCAACCCUUAUAAAACAAUAAUAUGUGUAACAGUACCACAUUUCCAUGUUCAGUGAACUAUGAUAUAAUAAAUAUGACAUAUACAUUUGUAAUUUAAACAGCUAACAUCAUAAUGAACAUGUGAACUAAGUUUCCAGUGGAUGUGACCAUUACCUCAUGGGGAACUACCUAAAACUUAAAACUUAAAAUAUCCUGCUUUUACAUGAUCACUAUUUCGUGGUCAAGUUUAUAAGUGCUGACACAAAUUAAGUGUACCUAGCAACAAAAUUUUUUCAAGGUCUUGGUCAUUGCUUGUGAUGUGGAUUCUUGCACAAUUAAUUAUCUUUCAUCUAUCAGAUGACAAAAACACUAAUAUUUAUAGGGUUUGAUGGUUUAAGAUUGAGGGUAUUGUAAUUUAUUUCUUUGGCCAGUAAACAUAUUAUCAACCAUAGAACUAGUACUGUAAAUAUUCAUAUGUAUGGGCAAACAAAAGCUACAGUAUAAAAAUAAAUUGAGAUUCUUUUUACAUAAAUUGUGAUUGAACUUAAAAAUAAUUCAAAUGGUUUUUAUAGUUUUAAAAGUUAGGUUUCAAAUGAGCCACAAAGAAAACAGACAACAGAGUAUGGCAAGACAACAGACAAUAUAUGAGGAGUAUAGUUGACAUGAGACAUUAAGAAUCAGCUAAACCUUAACAAAAAUUCAGGCAGAUAGGAAAUAAGAGUACACACGCUAAAAUGUCUUGUCUUCUUUACUAAUCAUUGAUAUUAUGUUGAUAGUCCUAAAUAUAAAGCUUUAUUACAACUGUCGCAUAAAGUUACAAUAACCAAGAAAACUAAACAUUGACAAUGAACCAAGAAAAUGAGGUCAAGGUCAGAUGAACCAUACCAGGCAGACAUGUACAGCUAACAGUUCUUCAAUACAACAAAUAUAGUUGACCUAGUGCUUAUAGUUUAAGAAAAACAGACAAAACACAAAAACUGAACACUGAGCAAUGAACCCUGAAAAUAAGGUCAAGGUCAAAUAAAACCUGUGCGACUGAAUAAAAGACCAACACUCAAAAAUGUAACUUAUUGACCACUGAACCAUAAAAAUGAGGUCAAGGUCAGAUGACACCUGCCAGCUAGACAUGUUCACCUUACAAUCAUUCCAUACACCAAAAAUACUAGACAUAUUGCUUAUAGUAUCUGAGAUAUGGACUUGACUACCAAAACUUAACCUUGUUCGAUGAUCUAUGAAAUAAGUGAAAACUGUCUGAUGGGCAUGAGGACCUUGUAAGGUAUGCCCAUAUCAAAUAUAGUUAUCCUAUUACUUAUAAUAAGAGGCAGUUUAACAUUACAAAACUUUAUAACUUUUUUUUCAACUAGUCACUGAACCAUGAAAAUGAGGUCAAGGACAUUGGACAUGUGACUGACAGAAACUAUGUAACAUAAGGCGUCUAUUUCUAAGUAUGAAGCAUCCAGGUUUCCAUCUUUUAAAAUAUAAAGCUUUUAAGAAGUAAAUAUCACGCCGACUCCUCCACUGCGGCCAUAACUGCCAGAUCACUAUCCCUAUGUCCAGCUUUCUGAGACAAUAGUCAAAGGCUCGACAAAAAACCCACUUAAAUAGCUACAUAACAACACCAUCAAUGAAUUGUUUUCUUUGAUAUAUAAGUUUUAGCAAGGUGUAAAUAAAUAUGAGAUUUUGAGUCAAAUCAAUGAACAGGAACAUGACAGUAUAAUACCCUUUUAUGAUCUCCAAAG